RNAcentral lists this ribosomal RNA (453 nucleotides) under uncultured bacterium. RNAcentral describes it as "bacterial SSU rRNA". It matches the Rfam family "Bacterial small subunit ribosomal RNA", at positions 29 to 524 of the family's 1533-position model. The record is from RNAcentral.
AACGAACGCUGGCGGCAUGCCUAACACAUGCAAGUCGAACGAGACCUUCGGGUCUAGUGGCGCACGGGUGCGUAACGCGUGGGAAUCUGCCCUAAGGUUCGGAAUAACAGUUAGAAAUGACUGCUAAUACCGGAUGAUGUCUUCGGACCAAAGGUUUACUGCCUUAGGAUGAGCCCGCGUAGGAUUAGCUAGUUGGUGAGGUAAAGGCUCACCAAGGCGACGAUCCUUAGCUGGUCUGAGAGGAUGAUCAGCCACACUGGGACUGAGACACGGCCCAGACUCCUACGGGAGGCAGCAGUGGGGAAGUAAUUGGACAAUGGGCGAAAGCCUGAUCCAGCAAUGCCGCGUGAGUGAUGAAGGCCUUAGGGUUGUAAAGCUCUUUUGCCCGGGAUGAUAAUGACAGUACCGGGAGAAUAACGCCCCGGCUAACUCCGUGCCAGCCGCCGCUGUAAC